This 150-nucleotide non-coding RNA is filed under the name Anas platyrhynchos (mallard). RNAcentral's name for it is "Eukaryotic large subunit ribosomal RNA". It matches the Rfam family "Eukaryotic large subunit ribosomal RNA", at positions 1739 to 1886 of the family's 3401-position model. The record is from Rfam by way of RNAcentral. Lineage: Eukaryota; Metazoa; Chordata; Aves; Anseriformes; Anatidae.
AGAGAGGGGCCCGCGCCUUGGAAAGCGUCGCGGUUCCGGCGGCGUCCGGUGAGCUCUCGGCGGCCCGUGAAAAUCCGGGGGAGAAGGUGUAAAUCUCGCGCCGGGCCGUACCCAUAUCCGCAGCAGGUCUCCAAGGUGAACAGCCUCUGG